GACGAACGCUGGCGGCGUGCUUAACACAUGCAAGUCGAACGAGAUCCAUGUUGUAGCAAUACUUCGGAAGAUCUAGUGGCGAACGGGUGAGGAACACGUGAGGAACCUGCCCCGGACUUCGGGAUAACAGUUGGAAACGAUUGCUAAUACCGAAUACCUCUGCGAAGUGGCAUCACUUUGCAAAGAAAGAAUUUCGGUCCGGGAGGGUCUCGCGGCCUAUCAGCUAGUUGGUGGGGUAACGGCCUACCAAGGCAUCGACGGGUAGCUGGUCUGAGAGGAUGAUCAGCCACACUGGGACUGCGACACGGCCCAGACUCCUACGGGAGGCAGCAGUGGGGAAUCUUGUGCAAUGGGCGAAAGCCUGACACAGCAACGCCGCGUGCGGGAAGAAGGCCUUCGGGUCGUAAACCGCUUUCAGCAGGAACGAAAAUGACGGUACCUGCAGAAGAAGGUGCGGCCAACUACGUGCCAGCCGCCGCAGUAA
Molecule: ribosomal RNA, 484 nt
Filed under: uncultured bacterium
Lineage: Bacteria
Description: partial 16S ribosomal RNA
Rfam family: Bacterial small subunit ribosomal RNA
Source: RNAcentral